This is a non-coding RNA of Termitomyces sp. Mi166#008, 91 nucleotides long. Lineage: Eukaryota; Fungi; Basidiomycota; Agaricomycetes; Agaricales; Lyophyllaceae. The record is from the annotation of a GenBank genome assembly.
GUCUCGAUAGCUCAGUGGUAGAGCAUGCGAUUGCAGUUCCUUAUGUUGUCAUCCCAUCGCAUGGUCCGGUGUUCAAACCACCGUCGGGACU